This 406-nucleotide unclassified non-coding RNA is filed under the name Hevea brasiliensis (rubber tree). The record is from RNAcentral. Lineage: Eukaryota; Viridiplantae; Streptophyta; Magnoliopsida; Malpighiales; Euphorbiaceae.
AAGUGGACUUGUCCACUUUGCCGCGUCACAAGCUUCCACACUACACUUGGCCCUUAAGUCCCAAGCCACAUGGCCCAUGCAUGCUUCAUCACGUAAGUGGGUUUGUCCACUUUGCCGCAUCAUGUGCUCUCCAUGUGAGAUUCAUAGUGCGCCCCCACUAAUGCCAAUUCAAGUGACUUUGAGCCUCCACUAAUUGAUCCCCAAGUGCCCCACUAAAGUCCCUUACGUCCUUGCAUGCGAUUUCCAUGCAAUACAAGACUCCCACAUGCGGUGCACCUUUGGUCCAAUUUAGUGCGCUCCACAUGCACCAUGCUACACUUGGCCCAUGCCAAUUUCCAUGCACGUAAAAAGGGUCCCAAUUCUCCACUAAUUAGACCACAAGUGUCCCACUAAACCCAAGGGAUCA